This 340-nucleotide long non-coding RNA is filed under the name Macaca mulatta (Rhesus monkey). RNAcentral's name for it is "lncRNA (ENSMMUG00000051708.1)". The record is from RNAcentral. Lineage: Eukaryota; Metazoa; Chordata; Mammalia; Primates; Cercopithecidae.
AUGUCUGCUCUGCAUUUCAGAUCAUUUCCAGAGAAGAUGAUGACAUUGGAAGGAGACAAUUACCCGCCUCUAGUCCUGACCCUUCACUCAAGCCCCAGGGCUGCCUCAAACAAUCCAUGGCCAUGGCACCUUCAGCCUCUCAUUUGCAUCACUGUCAGAGCUGUCCAGGUUACGUUUAAGUACCGCAGAGAAGUGCUAAAUGGAAUCUUCAGAUUAUUAUGAAGAAACCGCAAUGAAGGCGUUUUAUCCCAACUGCAAGUUCCAGAUGCUCACAAUUACUCAACAUUCACUGAGCAUCUUUUAUGUUAUAUGGCUGACCUUGUGCUAAGGUGGGUACACA